RNAcentral lists this ribosomal RNA (2393 nucleotides) under Hemiselmis virescens. RNAcentral describes it as "partial Bacterial large subunit ribosomal RNA". It matches the Rfam family "Bacterial large subunit ribosomal RNA", at positions 180 to 2698 of the family's 2925-position model. The record is from RNAcentral. Lineage: Eukaryota; Cryptophyceae; Cryptomonadales; Hemiselmidaceae.
AAAACCAAGUGAAUUGAUACAUCUUAUUAACUUGAAAUCAAAUCAACCGAGAUUUCGUGAAUAGUGGCGAACUUAAACGAAUAAGAGCUUAACUAAUAUUUUAAUAAAAAAAAAUCAUAAUUGGUUUACAACAAAAGGUUACAGUCCUGUAUUAUUGCAUUUUAUGCAUAAACUACAAAUAUUAAAAACAAGUAAGGAAAUGCUUACAUUUUUCUAAAAUCAAGGGGUACCUUCCUCAACUCUAAUUAUAAUUUUAUAAUCGAUAGCAAAAAAGUACUGUGAAGGAAAAAUGAAAAGAAAGCUUAAUGUAAGUUUAGUGAAAAGAAUUUGAAAUCUGAUGCAUUCAAAAAACUCAGAGUUUUGUUAAAUAAAACAAAAUAACGAUGGUUCCUUUUGUAUCAUGAACCAACAACUUUAUAAUUAUAGCAAGCUUAAAUUAAUAGAUGCAAGCAUAGUGAAAACACGUUUGAAAUGGCAGUAUAAAAUGAGUUUUAAUUAUAAUUUACCCGAAUACAGGUGAUCUAACCAUGAACUAACUGAGCAGGUAGUAAUUUAUUUGGGAAGGUUUAACUUAUGAUUGUUGUAAAAAUCUAAGAUGAUUUGUGGUUUGGAAUGAAAGGUUAAUCAAACUUGUUUUUAGCUGGUUUUUUGCGAAAAAUAUUUAGGUAUUGCACAAACAAAAACAAAAAUAAAAGGUAGAGCGCUGCUUAAAUGAAGGGAGGUGAAAUUUUACUAAAUUUAGGUAAACUUCGAAUAUUUAUUUGUUUGCUAGUUUGUAGUCAGACUUUCUGUUAUAAGAUAGAUAGUCAAAAGGGAAACAGCCCAGAUUAAUGGUUAAGGUUUUUAAAUAAUAAAAUUCUAAUAGAUGCUAAGUAAAAAGAUUGUAAAAAAAUCAAGAUUGCAGAAUGGUAAGCUUGGAAGUUGCUAACCACUAAAAAAUGUGUAAAAACAUAUCUGUUGAGUAGUUUUAAAACGACUACCUAAGUUAAACUAGGUAAAACAUUUUUUUGCAUCUAAAAUUCAUAGGAUUUGAAGCGAUUUGCCGAAACCUUAAACUUGAAAAGGUGGUAGCAAAACGUUUUUUUAUUUUAGAAAGAUAAGUUGUAAAACUUGUUUAAAAAAAAGAAAGUGAUUAUGUUGGUAUGAGUAGCGAAAAUAAUGUAAAAACAUUAUUAUCGACAUAGAUCCAAGGUUUUUUAUGCAAUGUUUGCCAUCAUAAAAUAAAGUCGAUUUCUAAAAAUUUUUUGCCAAUGCAAAUUUUAAUGAUAAAUUUUAAAUAAUUCACUAUUAAAAAAAACACAAAAAACAAAUGCACAUGAAAUAAAUGAUUUUUCUGCUGCUUCUUUUUUUUUACCAAGAAAUAUUUUUUUAUAUAAUACUAAUCGUACUAAGCCAACACAGGUGGGUUUGUUUUAAUGAAACAAUAGAUAUUUGAAUCAACCAUUUUUAAGGAACUAGGCAAAUUAAACCUGUAACUUAGGGAAAAGGGCCGCCUAUUUAAACAUAGGCAAAAUAAAAAAUAGAAAGCGACUAGUUAAUAAAACUACAAGAUUUUGCAAAAUUGGAAAAUGCUGUAUAAAAUCUGAUGCCUGCCCAGUGCUAGAAUAUCAAAUCAAAAAGUUCAUGCUUUUAAAAUAAGUGCUAGUAAACGGCGGUUGUAACUAUAACAAUCAUAAAGUAGCGAAAUUCAUUGGCAAAUAAUUGUUGCCCUGCAUGAAUGGCAUAACGACUAUCUAACUGUCUCAAAAAUAGAUUCAGUGAAAUUCAAAUUUGUGUGAAGAUGCACAAAAAUCAAAAUUAGACGAAAAGACCCUAUAAACCUUUACUAUGCAUUUAUAUUGUUAUAGUAUUUUAAUUGUGUAGCAAUAAGUGGUAGUAUAAUUUAAUUAUACAAAAUUGAAAAACCACUCAUAUUAAAAUAGUAAACUAAUUUUAAAAAACGUAUAAAUUUGAUAGUUUAACUGGGGAGGUUUUCUUCUAAAUUGUAACGAAGAACUACAAAGGCAUUUUCAAAUUCUGUUGAAAUGAAUUUUUAAAUAUAAUGGUUAAAAUUUGCUUGAUUGUAAGAUUAAUAAAUCGAACAAAAAUGAUUAAUUUUCGUUUGUCAUAUUGAUCCAAUUGUUUUUUAUGGAAAAAUAAUUGCUUAAGAGAUAAUAGGUACUUUAAGGAUAACAGGCUUAUAUUUUUUGCGAGUUCACAUCAAAAAAAAUGUUUGGCACCUCGAUGUCGAUUCAUCAGAUCUUAGUGCUGGAAAAGGUAUUUUAAGUUUGGCUGUUCGCCAUUUAAUAUGAUACGUGAAUUGGGUUUAGAACAUUGUAAAAUAGUUCGGUCUCUAUCUAUUUUGAUUGUUUUAGUAUUUAAAAAAUUUAUAUUUAGUACGAGAGGACCAAUAU